GGUGGUCGGUGGAGAGAGGAAAUGGGUUAUUGGUUGGGCUCGUUUGGGCUCGUGAGCUGCUCAGGCUCGAGCUCGGGCUCAGGCUCAGAUUUAAACGGGCCUCAUUUUGGGCUCGGGCUCGGGCUCGUUUGACUAACGAGCCGAGCCCGAGCCGGGCUUUUACCGAGCCGGGCCCGAGCCGAGCCCGAGCAGCUCGGCCCGUUGACAGCUCUAGGUCAUGCGCCAUGCAAUAAUUUUGGUUUAUUUAAAAUUCAUGAAAUCCAAUUCCAUGUCACCACUAAUUGCCACAUCAUCUGAAACUAAUCCCCUUGGGUUGCACCUAAUCAAAUUUGGUCAAACCCGGAUUAAAACAAAGCAAUUUGGUUGAACCCAAUCUAAUCAGGUCAGACCCUCAUUGAGCUCAAAUUGAAUCCAAUUCAAUUUUUGGCUCAUCCAAACUCAAUCAAAUUGAAUUAAUUACUUUUUAUUGGACCUAAUCCAAUUAGGUCAAUCCCCAAUUAAGCGCAAAUUAAUUUAAAAAUUAAUUUAGAUCAGCUUAAGUCCUUUUUGGUUCGGACCUAAUCCAAUCGGGUCAAAACCCUGAUUGAGCCCAAAGUUGAAUCCAAUCAAUUUGGCUCAUCCUUAGCUCAAUUACUCAAUCAAAUUGAAUUCAUUAGCAAUCUAAUUACUAAUUAAU
This 676-nucleotide long non-coding RNA is filed under the name Phoenix dactylifera (date palm). RNAcentral's name for it is "long non-coding RNA (PDAC_LNC019593)". The record is from RNAcentral. Lineage: Eukaryota; Viridiplantae; Streptophyta; Magnoliopsida; Arecales; Arecaceae.